This 554-nucleotide ribosomal RNA is filed under the name Cercospora zebrina. RNAcentral describes it as "eukaryotic LSU rRNA". The stretch from base 207 to 360 matches the Rfam family "5.8S ribosomal RNA". The record is from RNAcentral. Lineage: Eukaryota; Fungi; Ascomycota; Dothideomycetes; Mycosphaerellales; Mycosphaerellaceae.
AGAGGAAGUAAAAGUCGUAACAAGGUCUCCGUAGGUGAACCUGCGGAGGGAUCAUUUACUGAGUGAGGGCCUUCGGGGCUCGACCUCCAACCCUUUGUGAACACAAACUUGUUGCUUCGGGGGCGACCCUGCCGUUUCGACGGCGAGCGCCCCCGGAGGCCUUCAAACACUGCAUCUUUGCGUCGGAGUUUAAGUAAAUUAAACAAAACUUUCAACAACGGAUCUCUUGGUUCUGGCAUCGAUGAAGAACGCAGCGAAAUGCGAUAAGUAAUGUGAAUUGCAGAAUUCAGUGAAUCAUCGAAUCUUUGAACGCACAUUGCGCCCCUUGGUAUUCCGAGGGGCAUGCCUGUUCGAGCGUCAUUUCACCACUCAAGCCUCGCUUGGUAUUGGGCGCCGCGGUGUUCCGCGCGCCUCAAAGUCUCCGGCUGAGCUGUCCGUCUCUAAGCGUUGUGAUUUCAUUAAUCGCUUCGGAGCGCGGGCGGUCGCGGCCGUUAAAUCUUUUAUAAGGUUGACCUCGGAUCAGGUAGGGAUACCCGCUGAACUUAAGCAUAUCA